UUGAAGGAAUUUGGCUUCUUAAUCACCAAAAACAACAAAUAAUCUGGUUUAUUGGAAUCCAUAAUCAAAUAAUUUCUCGCCAUUUGAAAGUUAGACAAUAUAGAAUAGGGUAACUUAUAGGGUACAUCCGAUACAUUAAUAAGUAAUAUACUUAUCGCUUAUAAAGAAGUAAUUGUUUCUUGAAUUUAAAAGUGUGAGACUUAUUAUUUUGUGAAUAAAG
Molecule: unclassified non-coding RNA, 220 nt
Filed under: Hevea brasiliensis (rubber tree)
Lineage: Eukaryota; Viridiplantae; Streptophyta; Magnoliopsida; Malpighiales; Euphorbiaceae
Source: RNAcentral